AUUUGCGCAGGAUAGGUGGGAGGCGUUGAUGGUGUCCUUGCGGGGAUAUCGGAGCCAUUGGUGAGAUACCACUCUUGUAAAGCUAGAAUUCUAACCUUAUACCGUUAUCCGGUUAGGGAACAGUCUCAGGUGGGCAGUUUGACUGGGGCGGUCGCCUCCUAAAAGGUAACGGAGGCGUACAAAGGUUUCCUCAGAUCGGUCAGAAAUCGAUCGUAGAGCGUAAAGGCAUAAGGAAGCUUGACUGCGAGACCUACAAGUCGAGCAGAGACGAAAGUCGGUCUUAGUGAUCUGACGGUUCCGAGUGGAAGGGCCGUCACUCAACGGGUAAAAGUUACUCUAGGGAUAACAGGCUGA
This 354-nucleotide ribosomal RNA is filed under the name uncultured eukaryote. Its description in RNAcentral is "LSU rRNA". It matches the Rfam family "Bacterial large subunit ribosomal RNA", at positions 2132 to 2485 of the family's 2925-position model. The record is from RNAcentral.